This 21-nucleotide microRNA is filed under the name Gossypium hirsutum (cotton). RNAcentral's name for it is "ghr-miR7495b". The record is from miRBase by way of RNAcentral. Lineage: Eukaryota; Viridiplantae; Streptophyta; Magnoliopsida; Malvales; Malvaceae.
UUACUUUAGAUGUCUCCUUCA